This 253-nucleotide ribosomal RNA is filed under the name uncultured bacterium. RNAcentral's name for it is "partial 16S ribosomal RNA". It matches the Rfam family "Bacterial small subunit ribosomal RNA", at positions 524 to 776 of the family's 1533-position model. The record is from RNAcentral.
UACAGAGGUCUCAAGCGUUGUUCGGAUUCAUUGGGCGUAAAGGGUGUGUAGGUGGCGCCGUAAGUCGGGUGUGAAAUUUCGGAGCUUAACUCCGAAACUGCAUUCGAUACUGCGGUGCUUGAGGACUGGAGAGGAGACUGGAAUUCAUGGUGUAGCAGUGAAAUGCGUAGAUAUCUGGAGGAACACCGGUGGCGAAGGCGGCAUCCUGGACCGGUAUUGACACUGAGGCGCGAAGGCCAGGGGAGCAAACGGG